Sinocyclocheilus grahami is the source of this 594-nucleotide long non-coding RNA. RefSeq lists it as uncharacterized. The transcript has 3 exons. The record is from RefSeq and is a predicted model, not a curated record. Lineage: Eukaryota; Metazoa; Chordata; Actinopteri; Cypriniformes; Cyprinidae.
AAUGCACACGAACACCACGGGCUUGAUGUUAUGAGCGUGACAGGAAGUCAGCAGAAUGUUGGAGGUUUGAUUUCCGGUUAAAGCUGUGCCUCACUAAUAUCAAUAUCAACAAAACCUAUCAGGGAUAAACAGUGCGACUUGUGAUGUGUGAGCGCAGAUGAUGGAGGAACGCUUCUCUCUCUGAGCCAGAGCCGCAUGAACCCGCCUGAACCUGGUUACAUUCGGCUGAAUCCAUGCUUUCUGAUGAACUUGACUCCAAGCCUGAGGUAUUUUGCAGUGUGAGGAGGUUACAGAUCCGCGCAUGGUGUUUUUAAUUACUUUAAAUUGCAAUUGUGAUUUAAAAUGCAAUUUAAAAAAAAAAUCCAGGUUGUCUGUGUUUGUAGGGCUGCACAGUUUGGCCAAAAGUUGUGAUUAUAUUUACAGUUAGUCAUUUAGCAGACGCUUUUAUCCAAAGCGCCUUACAACUGGGGAAUACAUCAAGCGAUUCUUCUUAAAGAGGCAAAUACACACCGGAAGUGCUCGUCAUACCACGUUUCAAGCAUUGUUUAGAUAAGUACAAGCUAGAAAGGGAAGGAAUAAAUAAAGAGAAAGACA